GAUGAACGCUGGCGGCGUGCCUAAUACAUGCAAGUCGAGCGAACAGACGAGGAGCUUGCUCCUCUGACGUUAGCGGCGGACGGGUGAGUAACACGUGGAUAACCUACCUAUAAGACUGGGAUAACUUCGGGAAACCGGAGCUAAUACCGGAUAAUAUAUUGAACCGCAUGGUUCAAUAGUGAAAGACGGUUUUGCUGUCACUUAUAGAUGGAUCCGCGCCGCAUUAGCUAGUUGGUAAGGUAACGGCUUACCAAGGCGGCGAUGCGUAGCCGCCCUGAGAGCGUGAUCGGCCACACUGGCACUGAGACACGGUCCCGACUCCUACGCGAGGCCGCAGUAGGGAAUCUUCCGCAAUGGGCGAAAGCCUGACGGAGCAACACCGCGUGAGUGAUGAAGGUCCUCGGAUCGUAAAACGCUGUAAUUCGGGAAGAACAAAUGUGUAAGUAACUAUGCACGUCUUGACGGUACCUAAUCAGAAAGCCACGGCUAACUACGUG
RNAcentral lists this ribosomal RNA (497 nucleotides) under uncultured bacterium. RNAcentral describes it as "partial 16S ribosomal RNA". It matches the Rfam family "Bacterial small subunit ribosomal RNA", at positions 28 to 507 of the family's 1533-position model. The record is from RNAcentral.